Molecule: long non-coding RNA, 464 nt
Filed under: Nicotiana benthamiana
Lineage: Eukaryota; Viridiplantae; Streptophyta; Magnoliopsida; Solanales; Solanaceae
Description: long non-coding RNA (NBEN_LNC028583)
Source: RNAcentral
UCUUCCAUAUCUGUGUCUGAACUUCUAUCUCCUUGGGGUUCGAUUUUGCGAUUUUCAUUCCAUCUUUGACCAUCGGAGAGUAGAACCUGAGUUGCAUACCCUGCUUCUGGUUUCUGUUACCUGUAACCACUUCAGCAAAGGUUUGCUUGUGAGAUUCAACUGAAUAUGUGAGUUUUCUAACUGUUGUGAUUAUUGCUGUUUCCUUUGAUUGCUUCCUUUCUUCCUCCUUCUCCGAUAGUGGUUGCAUGACGGUCGGAGCACUCCCCAUACCCGGGAACUACUGCAAUAGUGGUAUUGGGUUUAGGGUUUGAGGAAUUCCACUCUCUGGGGUGACGAUUCGAGCCAUUGUACAGUGGGGAAAAGUAAUUGUGGAGGUGAUUGUGGUGGCUUACGGUGGUGAGCUUCUUGCUUUUCGUCGCCAGGUCUCUCUCUAAUUUUCUCUCUACAUCUCAGUUGACAAGAAG